This 1201-nucleotide unclassified non-coding RNA is filed under the name uncultured fungus. RNAcentral describes it as "sequence contains 18S rRNA gene, ITS1, 5.8S rRNA gene, ITS2, 28S rRNA gene". The stretch from base 323 to 1201 matches the Rfam family "Eukaryotic large subunit ribosomal RNA", at positions 1 to 961 of the family's 3401-position model. The record is from RNAcentral. Lineage: Eukaryota; Fungi.
GGAAGGAUCAUUAUUUUGCGUUUCGGCGUACCGGACGAUUUGUGGAAUGUAUUUGUUCUCUUUACUAAAAUAAUCGUAUACAACGCAACUUACAAAAUAAACAACUCCUAGCAAUGGAUAUCUUGGCUCCCACUACGAUGAAGAACGCAGCGAAAUGCGAUACGUCAUGCGAAUCGCAACGCCCAGUGAAUCAUGAAAUGUUUGAACGCAUGUUGCGCAUUCGCGAGAAUGCAUGCCUCUUUGAGAAUCGGUUUCUUUUGACUGGACAUUCGUGGUGCGAUGAUCUCAAAUCAACACAGUGUUUCGGCACACGCAACCAAAAAGAUCUCAAAUGAGGCAAGAGUACCCGCUGGACUUAAGCAUAUCAUUAGGCGGAGGAAGAGAAACUAACAAGGAUUCCCUCAGUAACGGCGAGUGAAGCGGGAAGUGCUCAAACCGAAAAUCUGCUUGUUCAAAAGCCGAAUUGUGGUCUGUGGACGCGUGCGUUGGUGCGCGGGAGACGCCCCAAGUCGACUGGGACGUCGCAUCGGAGAGGGUGAGAAUCCCGUGGCGGGUGUGUCCCGCGCAGUGAAACGCCGCGAUCGACGAGUCGGGCUGCUUGGGAGUGCAGCCCUAACCGGGUGGUACAUGCCAUCCAAAGCUAAAUACGAGUGGGAGACCGAUAGCGAACAAGUACCGUGAGGGAAAGAUGAAAAGAACUUUGAAAAGAGAGUGCAACAGUGCUUGAAAUUGCUUGGAUCGAAGGGAUGUCGUCGUUUAGCGUGUUCGAAUGGGUGUUGCGUGGGGGAAUCACGGUGCGUGGAGGUGCAUUUUUCCGAAAAUGACAAUACACGUCCCAUCAACUCCACAAGGCAUCGAGGCGCGGAAACCCUCGGGUUUGACGAUUCGGACGAAAUCGACGACAUUCGCCCGUCUUGAAACACGGACCAAGGAGUCCUACGUCGGCGCGAGUACGCGGGUGCGAAACCCGAGUGCGCAAUGAAAGUGACAUGGUGUGCAUCGCUCAAGAUUCAACACGGGGCGGUUGCACCGACCCAGAGCGGCGCCGUAGGGACCCGAAAGAUGGUGAACUAUGCCUGAGCAGGAUGAAGCCGGGGGAAACCCCGGUGGAGGUCCGAAGCGAUACUGACGUGCAAAUCGUUCGUCCGACUUGGGUAUAGGGGCGAAAGACUAAUCGAACCGUCUAGUAGCUGGUUCCCUC